RNAcentral lists this ribosomal RNA (758 nucleotides) under uncultured archaeon. RNAcentral's name for it is "bacterial SSU rRNA". It matches the Rfam family "Archaeal small subunit ribosomal RNA", at positions 102 to 859 of the family's 1478-position model. The record is from RNAcentral.
GGACAACCUGCCCUGAGGACUGGAAUAAUCCCGGGAAACUGGGGGUAAUUCCAGAUAUGUCAGAACUCCUGGAAUGGGUUCUGGCAGAAAUGCUCCGGCGCCUCAGGAUGGGUCUGCGGCCUAUCAGGGUAGUAGUGGGUGUAACGUACCCACUAGCCUACGACGGGUACGGGUUGUGAGAGCAAGAGCCCGGAGAUGGAUUCUGAGACAUGAAUCCAGGCCCUACGGGGUGCAGCAGGCGCGAAAACUUUACAAUGCGGGCAACCGCGAUAAGGGGACCUCGAGUGCUGGGUUACAAACCUGGCUGUUGGGCUGCCUAAAAAGCAGUCUAUAGCAAGGGCCGGGCAAGACCGGUGCCAGCCGCCGCGGUAACACCGGCGGCUCGAGUGGUAACCGCUGUUAUUGGGUCUAAAGGGUCUGUAGCCUGCCGGCUAAGUCUCUUGGGAAAUCUGGCAUCUCAAGUGUCAGGCUGCCAGGGGAUACUGGUCAGCUUGGGACCGGGAGAGGUGAGAGGUACCUCAGGGGUAGGGGUGAAAUCUUGUAAUCCUUGAGGGACCACCAGUGGCGAAGGCGUCUCACCAGAACGGAUCCGACGGCAAGGGACGAAAGCUAGGGGCACGAACCGGAUUAGAUACCCGGGUAGUCCUAGCCGUAAACGAUACUCGCUAGGUGUCGGCCACGGUGCGACCGUGGUCGGUGCCGUAGGGAAGCCGUGAAGCGAGCCACCUGGGAAGUACGGCCGCAAGGCUGAAACUUAA